ACGCUGGCGGCAGGCCUAACACAUGCAAGUCGAGCGGUAGAGAGAAGCUUGCUUCUCUUGAGAGCGGCGGACGGGUGAGUAAUGCCUAGGAAUCUGCCUGGUAGUGGGGGAUAACGUUCGGAAACGGACGCUAAUACCGCAUACGUCCUACGGGAGAAAGCAGGGGACCUUCGGGCCUUGCGCUAUCAGAUGAGCCUAGGUCGGAUUAGCUAGUUGGUGAGGUAAUGGCUCACCAAGGCGACGAUCCGUAACUGGUCUGAGAGGAUGAUCAGUCACACUGGAACUGAGACACGGUCCAGACUCCUACGGGAGGCAGCAGUGGGGAAUAUUGGACAAUGGGCGAAAGCCUGAUCCAGCCAUGCCGCGUGUGUGAAGAAGGUCUUCGGAUUGUAAAGCACUUUAAGUUGGGAGGAAGGGUUGUAGAUUAAUACUCUGCAAUUUUGACGUUACCGACAGAAUAAGCACCGGCUAACUCUGUGCCAGCAGCCGCGGUAAUACAGAGGGUGCAAGCGUUAAUCGGAAUUACUGGGCGUAAAGCGCGCGUAGGUGGUUUGUUAAGUUGGAUGUGAAAUCCCCGGGCUCAACCUGGGAACUGCACUCAAAACUGACUGACUAGAGUAUGGUAGAGGGUGGUGGAAUUUCCUGUGUAGCGGUGAAAUGCGUAGAUAUAGGAAGGAACACCAGUGGCGAAGGCGACCACCUGGACUAAUACUGACACUGAGGUGCGAAAGCGUGGGGAGCAAAC
RNAcentral lists this ribosomal RNA (745 nucleotides) under uncultured bacterium. RNAcentral describes it as "bacterial SSU rRNA". It matches the Rfam family "Bacterial small subunit ribosomal RNA", at positions 33 to 773 of the family's 1533-position model. The record is from RNAcentral.